This 768-nucleotide ribosomal RNA is filed under the name uncultured bacterium. RNAcentral's name for it is "bacterial SSU rRNA". It matches the Rfam family "Bacterial small subunit ribosomal RNA", at positions 154 to 916 of the family's 1533-position model. The record is from RNAcentral.
AAACUUGGGCUAAUACCGCAUGAGCCCUGAGGGGGAAAGCGGGGGAUCUUCGGACCUCGCGCUAAGGGAAGAGCCUACGUCUGAUUAGCUAGUUGGUAGGGUAAAGGCCUACCAAGGCGACGAUCAGUAGCUGGUCUGAGAGGACGACCAGCCACACUGGGACUGAGACACGGCCCAGACUCCUACGGGAGGCAGCAGUGGGGAAUUUUUCGCAAUGGGGGCAACCCUGACGAAGCAAUGCCGCGUGGAUGAAGAAGGCCUUCGGGUUGUAAAGUCCUUUCGUGGGGGACGAAAAGGCGGGUCCUAAUACGAUCUGCUGUUGACGUGAACCCAAGAAGAAGCACCGGCUAACUCCGUGCCAGCAGCCGCGGUAAUACGGGGGGUGCAAGCGUUAAUCGGAAUCACUGGGCGUAAAGGGUGCGUAGGCGGUACGUUAGGUCUGUCGUGAAAUCCCCGGGCUCAACCUGGGAAUGGCGGUAGAAACCGGCGCACUAGAGUAUGGGAGAGGGUGGUGGAAUUCCAGGUGUAGCGGUGAAAUGCGUAGAGAUCUGGAGGAACAUCAGUGGCGAAGGCGGCCACCUGGCCCCAAUACUGACGCUGAGGCACGAAAGUGGGGGAGCAAACAGGAUUAGAUACCCUGGUAGUCCACGCCCUAAACGAUGAAAUACUAGAUGUUUGGUACCUAGCGUACUGAGUGUCGUAGCUAACGCGAUAAGUAUUCCGCCUGGGAAGUACGGCCGCAAGGUUAAAACUCAAAGGAAUUGACGG